AGGAGGGCACUGGAGACAGAGGUGCUCUCCUUAUCCACAUGACAGGGAUAGCACUGGCAGUAGCAGUGCAAGCUUCUCCUCAGCUGUCCCACCAGGGUGCCCCCGCCCUAGCUUAAAAGGAUCACCUGUGCGGGGAUGAGGUUAAACUUCUACUCCGAUCAAUGCUUGGUGACU
RNAcentral lists this small RNA (174 nucleotides) under Chrysemys picta bellii (western painted turtle). RNAcentral describes it as "TUC338 (ENSCPBG00000023586.1)". The record is from RNAcentral. Lineage: Eukaryota; Metazoa; Chordata; Testudines; Emydidae.